GACGAACGCUGGCGGCGUGCCUAAUACAUGCAAGUCGAACGAAGCUGUUUUAACUGGUGCUUGCACCGACUUAAACAACUGAGUGGCGAACGGGUGAGUAACACGUGGGUAACCUGCCCCAAAGCGGGGGAUAACAUUUGGAAACAGAUGCUAAUACCGCAUAACCACAGAAACCACAUGGUUUCUGUGUCAAAGAUGGUUUCGGCUAUCACUUUGGGAUGGUCACGCGGCGGAUUAGCUAGUUGGUAAGGUAAUGGCUUACCAAGGCAAUGAUACGUAGCCGAACUGAGAGGAUGAUCGGCCACAUUGGGACUGAGACACGGCCCAAACUCCUACGGGAGGCAGCAGUAGGGAAUCUUCCACAAUGGACGAAAGUCUGAUGGAGCAACGCCGCGUGAGUGAAGAAGGUUUUCGGAUCGUAAAACUCUGUUGUCAGAGAAGAACGUGUGCGAGAGUAACUGUUCGUGCAGUGACGGUAUCUGGCCAGAAAGCCACGGCUAACUACGUGCCAGCCGCCGCCGUAA
Molecule: ribosomal RNA, 524 nt
Filed under: uncultured bacterium
Lineage: Bacteria
Description: partial 16S ribosomal RNA
Rfam family: Bacterial small subunit ribosomal RNA
Source: RNAcentral